UGGGGAAUAUUGGACAAUGGGCGAAAGCCUGAUCCAGCCAUGCCGCGUGUGUGAAGAAGGUCUUCGGAUUGUAAAGCACUUUAAGUUGGGAGGAAGGGCAGUAAGCGAAUACCUUGCUGUUUUGACGUUACCGACAGAACAAGCACCGGCUAACUCUGUGCCAGCAGCCGCGGUAAUACAGAGGGUGCAAGCGUUAAUAGGAAUUACUGGGCGUAAAGCGCGCGUAGGUGGUUCGUUAAGUUGAAUGUGAAAGCCCCGGGCUCAACCUGGGAACUGCAUCCAAAACGAGCGAGCUAGAGUAGGGCAGAGGGUGGUGGAAUUUCCUGUGUAGCGGUGAAAUGCGUAGAUAUAGGAAGGAACACGAGUGGCGAGGGCGACCACCUGGGCUCAUACUGACGCAUAGGUGCGAAAGCGUGGGGAGCAAACAGG
This 429-nucleotide ribosomal RNA is filed under the name Pseudomonadota bacterium. RNAcentral describes it as "Proteobacteria bacterium partial 16S ribosomal RNA". It matches the Rfam family "Bacterial small subunit ribosomal RNA", at positions 355 to 776 of the family's 1533-position model. Lineage: Bacteria; Pseudomonadati; Pseudomonadota. The record is from RNAcentral.